UCCGUGAUAGUGUAGGGGUUAUCAUACUCGCCUCUCACGCGAGUGACCGGGGUUCGAUUCCCCGUCUCGGAA
This 72-nucleotide transfer RNA is filed under the name Taphrina deformans PYCC 5710. RNAcentral's name for it is "tRNA-Glu (CTC) (tRNA-Glu-CTC-1-1, tRNA-Glu-CTC-1-2)". It matches the Rfam family "tRNA". Rfam says of the family: Transfer RNA (tRNA) molecules are approximately 80 nucleotides in length. Their secondary structure includes four short double-helical elements and three loops (D, anti-codon, and T loops). The record is from RNAcentral. Lineage: Eukaryota; Fungi; Ascomycota; Taphrinomycetes; Taphrinales; Taphrinaceae.